Molecule: ribosomal RNA, 427 nt
Filed under: uncultured bacterium
Lineage: Bacteria
Description: partial 16S ribosomal RNA
Rfam family: Bacterial small subunit ribosomal RNA
Source: RNAcentral
GUGGGGAAUAUUGGGCAAUGGGGGGAACCCUGACCCAGCGACGCCGCGUGGGUGAAGAAAUCCUUCGGGAUGUAAAGCCCUGUUGUAUGGGAAGAGCGGAAGACGGUACCAUACGAGGAAGCCCCGGCAAACUACGUGCCAGCAGCAGCGGUAAUACGUAGGGGGCAAGCGUUGUCCCGAAUUACUGGGCGUAAAGCGCACGCAGGCUGAAUUAUACGUCGGUAGUAAAAGGCGGGGGCUCAACUUCCGUAUAUCUAUCGAUACUGUAAAUCUAGAGUAUGUGAGAGGGAAGCGGAAUUCCCGGUGUAGCGGUGAAAUGCAUAGAUAUCGGGAGGAACACCAGUGGCGAAGGCGGCUUCCUGGCACAAUACUGACGCUCAUGUGCGAAAGCUAGGGCAGCGAACGAGAUUAGAUACCCCGGUAGUCC